UGAGAGGAUUGACUCCAAUUUUGAAAGAAGUUCAAACCUUCAGCAACUACCACCUUGAUCAGUCAGCAGCCAUCAACAUUGAGGCAAGACCAUCCAUGAGCAAAGAUUACAACUCGCUGAAGCCUCAGAUGAUGGUUAGGAUUUUUAGUAAUAAAGUAUUUUUUAUUAAGUGAUCCCCUUCCCUUGAGAGGAGUUAGCAAGAAACAGGACUAGCGCAUCUCUGAGAACACCUUCUGUUGGCUUUCCUUCCAGGAAGAAAAUGAGCAUAAAGUUAGCACUGAGCUUUUCUGGAACCACGGACAUGGGAGACACCAGAAAGUUUUCUGAAUAAAUACAAGAAGCCUCUUCUGGAGUCUCCAGGAAAACGGACGAUAAUUUGUAGCUCAAUGUAUCUCCACUUUUUUUUUUUUUCUGUGACUUGCUGACGUGUAUCUUGAAUUGGAGAGAGUAAAAUGAAGAAUUUGAACUCCUGGGCCAGAAACAUGCAAGUGGUUCGGAUCAAGGUAAUUUUGAUCCCUGCUGACUUCAGAGGACAGUUUGAAAGGAGACUUCUUCCCUUCUCUCAAGGGCUGAUUGCUGACGUCCAAAUAUGUCUCAAGGUUUAGUUCCUUGUAGAUGGAGCCAUCUCCCCAAAUAUGGAAAGUUCUCCUUUGAGUUUAAUCAAAUCAAGGCAGAGAAUUUUCUCCAUACUGAACAAAAUAUACAGUGCACUUCUGUGUUUCUUGUAAAGCACCUCAGAUCUGUGUAUGAGGAUGGCCUAAAAUUCCACUAACAGACUUCAAGAAGGAAAAAAUCAGCGAAUACAACCUCCAGUUUUUAGCUAGGCAUAUGCCAAGCUGAAUAAAGACUACAUUUCUCGAUCUCCUUUAAAAUUAACUCUGUUUACCUUCUGCCAAAUGAUAUGUAAGAAGAAAUGUUUUGUGUGGGCCUCUAAGAAAUCUUCUAAGAGUUGGUGCAUGCCCAUUGACACUUCAUUCUUCAUUCUCUGUCCUUUUUCCCGGAUCAUGAGGCAGAUGGCUGGAUCUCCAACAAUCAUAGAGGAUUGUGAGGUCAAGGCCAUAUCCUAGGAAUAGUGAAAUAGUGAGUUAGAAAAAGACCAAAUCCGAAAACUUCAUGGAGAAGAACAAUUAUAUCAGUCAUGGAAUAAUUUUCAUGUCAAAGAAUGAGAAAUAAACUAUGUUAUUUAAAUCACUAAUGUUUUGUUUUUCUCUGUCACAUACAGCCACGUGUAAUUCUAAUUGGGUCAGGGUGCUUUGUGGUGAGUUCAAU
This 1269-nucleotide long non-coding RNA is filed under the name Equus caballus (horse). Its description in RNAcentral is "lncRNA (ENSECAG00000032815.3)". Lineage: Eukaryota; Metazoa; Chordata; Mammalia; Perissodactyla; Equidae. The record is from RNAcentral.